UAGAGUUUGAUCAUGGCUCAGAAUCAACGCUGGCGGCGCGCCUAACACACGCAAGUCGCACGAGAAAGGCUCCUUCGGGGGCUGAGUACAGUGGCGCACGGGUGAGUAACACGUGGAUACCUGCCCUCGAGUGGGGAAUAACUCUGGGAAACCGGGGCUAAUACCGCAUACGUUCGAGAGAAGAAAGCACAAUGCGCUCGGGGAGGGGUCCGCGGCUGAUUACCAAUGGGG
This 231-nucleotide ribosomal RNA is filed under the name uncultured bacterium. RNAcentral describes it as "partial 16S ribosomal RNA". It matches the Rfam family "Bacterial small subunit ribosomal RNA", at positions 1 to 252 of the family's 1533-position model. The record is from RNAcentral.